GAUGAACGCUGGCGGCGUGCCUAAUACAUGCAAGUCGAGCGGACAGACGAGGAGCUUGCUCCUCUGACGUUAGCGGCGGACGGGUGAGUAACACGUGGAUAACCUACCUAUAAGACUGGGAUAACUUCGGGAAACCGGAGCUAAUACCGGAUAAUAUAUUGAACCGCAUGGUUCAAUAGUGAAAGACGGUUUUGCUGUCACUUAUAGAUGGAUCCGCGCCGCAUUAGCUAGUUGGUAAGGUAACGGCUUACCAAGGCGACGAUGCGUAGCCGACCUGAGAGGGUGAUCGGCCACACUGGAACUGAGACACGGUCCAGACUCCUACGGGAGGCAGCAGUAGGGAAUCUUCCGCAAUGGGCGAAAGCCUGACGGAGCAACGCCGCGUGAGUGAUGAAGGUCUUCGGAUCGUAAAACUCUGUUAUUAGGGAAGAACAAAUGUGUAAGUAACUAUGCACGUCUUGACGGUACCUAAUCAGAAAGCCACGGCUAACUACGUG
RNAcentral lists this ribosomal RNA (497 nucleotides) under uncultured bacterium. RNAcentral describes it as "partial 16S ribosomal RNA". It matches the Rfam family "Bacterial small subunit ribosomal RNA", at positions 28 to 507 of the family's 1533-position model. The record is from RNAcentral.